This is a long non-coding RNA of Saccostrea echinata, 284 nucleotides long. RefSeq lists it as uncharacterized. The record is from RefSeq and is a predicted model, not a curated record. Lineage: Eukaryota; Metazoa; Mollusca; Bivalvia; Ostreida; Ostreidae. The transcript has 3 exons.
UCGGAGAACGCUUUCCUGCUUCCGAUGGUUGCAAUAGAUGCUAUUGCGCAGAGCCUUGGCAAGUUCAUUGUACAAUAAUGCAUUGUCCUGAUCUUUGCGAGCUUCCAAUAGAACCAGGUAACGGCAUUUUCCCUUCUGAAAGAUGGGGAUAUAACAGCGUCACCGGUCAAUGUGUCAGCUUUUCCUAUAGAGGCUGCGACGGAAACAACAAUAGAUUCGUAACUGUAGGCCAAUGUCUCCAGCGUUGUGGAGGAAGGACAGCAUGGACAGAAUUAAGAAUUGGC